UCUGGUACCUUCGGUGCCCGAGUUGUAAUUUGUAGAGGGCGACUUUGGGGCGGCUCCUUGUCUAUGUUCCUUGGAACAGGACGUCAUAAAGGGUGAGAAUCCCGUGUGGCGAGGAGUGCGGUUCCGUGUAAAGCGCUCUCGAAAAGUCGAGUUGUUUGGGAAUGCAGCUCUUAGUGGGUGGUAAAUUCCAUCUAAAGCUAAAUAUUGGCGAGAGACCGAUAGCGAACAAGUACAGUGAUGGAAAGAUGAAAAGAACUUUGAAAAGAGAGUGAAAAAGUACGUGAAAUUGUUGAAAGGGAAGGGCAUUUGAUCAGACAUGGUGUUUUGCGCCCCCCGCUCCUUGUGGGUGGGGGACUCUCGCAGCUCACUGGGCCAGCAUCAGUUUUGGCGGCCGGACAAAACUGCAGG
This 408-nucleotide ribosomal RNA is filed under the name Maudiozyma humilis. RNAcentral's name for it is "Kazachstania humilis partial large subunit ribosomal RNA". It matches the Rfam family "Eukaryotic large subunit ribosomal RNA", at positions 121 to 531 of the family's 3401-position model. Lineage: Eukaryota; Fungi; Ascomycota; Saccharomycetes; Saccharomycetales; Saccharomycetaceae. The record is from RNAcentral.